UACGUAGGUGGCAAGCGUUGUCCGGAUUUAUUGGGUUUAAAGGGUGCGUAGGCGGCCCUGUAAGUCAGUGCUGAAAUAUCCCGGCUUAACCGGGAGGGUGGCAUUGAUACUGCAGGGCUUGAGUGAAGUCGAGGUAGGCGGAAUUGACGGUGUAGCGAUGAAAUGCUUAGAUAUCGUCAGGAACACCGAUAGUGAAGACAGCUUACUAGGCUUAUACUGACGCUGAGGCACGAAAGUGUGGGGAUCAAACAGG
Molecule: ribosomal RNA, 253 nt
Filed under: uncultured bacterium
Lineage: Bacteria
Description: partial 16S ribosomal RNA
Rfam family: Bacterial small subunit ribosomal RNA
Source: RNAcentral